AAACUUAAGAGUUUGAUCCUGGCUCAGAUUGAACGCUGGCGGCAUGCUUUACACAUGCAAGUCGAACGGCAGCACGGGUGCUUGCACCUGGUGGCGAGUGGCGGACGGGUGAGUAAUACAUCGGAACGUGUCCUGAAGUGGGGGAUAACGCAUCGAAAGAUGUGCUAAUACCGCAUAUACUCUAAGGAGGAAAGUAGGGGAUCGAAAGACCUUAUGCUUUUGGAGCGGCCGAUGUCUGAUUAGCUAGUUGGUAAGGUAAUGGCUUACCAAGGCGACGAUCAGUAGUUGGUCUGAGAGGACGACCAGCCACACUGGGACUGAGACACGGCCCAGACUCCUACGGGAGGCAGCAGUGGGGAAUCUUAGACAAUGGGGGAAACCCUGAUCUAGCCAUGCCGCGUGAUCGAUGGAGGCCUUAGGGUUGUAAAGAUCUUUCAGAUGGG
This 443-nucleotide ribosomal RNA is filed under the name Nitrosomonas sp. Its description in RNAcentral is "bacterial SSU rRNA". It matches the Rfam family "Bacterial small subunit ribosomal RNA", at positions 1 to 444 of the family's 1533-position model. The record is from RNAcentral. Lineage: Bacteria; Pseudomonadati; Pseudomonadota; Betaproteobacteria; Nitrosomonadales; Nitrosomonadaceae.